This is a non-coding RNA of Vicia faba (fava bean), 345 nucleotides long. The record is from the annotation of a GenBank genome assembly. Lineage: Eukaryota; Viridiplantae; Streptophyta; Magnoliopsida; Fabales; Fabaceae.
AUGAGGUUCUUCAAUCUGGGAGUAUACAAAACUUCCAAAAUGUAUAACAGUCUUAGAGGAGAGAAACAACUUGUGCCUUGGAAGAAAAUGUUCUACAAGAACUUGGCAAGACCAAGGGCUCUUUUUUAUAUGUGGCUGUCCUUCACGGGGAGAAUUAAUACUAAGGAAAGAAUUCAUAAAUUUGGCAUUGCUACUGAUUUAAGGUGUGCUUUCUGCCAUGAACAAGAGAAUCUGGAUCACCUAUAUUUUGAUAGCCAAAUAACAAGGAAAAUAUGGAUUGAAUUUUGCAGUGGAUGGGUUAUUGAUGAAGACCAUCUGCUUGGUAUAAUGAAAAACAGUGGUUGA